CUCUGCUUCCACCCCCGACCCACCCCCGGCUGCAGGGACCGCUUCAGGGAGCGGCACAGGGCUUGAGGGGGGCAAUCCGCUGUAGUUGCCCACCCCUGGCCUGGAGAUAAUCUAAUAUCCUAGGAAGAGAGUGAGUUGGAGAAAUCUGAUGCCUGUUACACUAAAGAUAAUAUUUCAAUUUCUGGAGGACUUUCCUGAAUCCUUGAGAUGAGAUAUGCUAAGUGCAAGAAAACUGGAGAAAAGGAGGUAUCUGUUGAGUCCACAAAGACCUUGAGAUCAUUAAAGGGGAGAUUUUCAAUGGUACUCUGAACCUCUCCCUGAAAGCCCAACAUCUGCAGCCAAGGUCUCUUCUCAUGACCACUGCAGUGUAUACAGACCAUGCUGCAGAAUCUGGUAUGUCUAAGGAGGCCUGAAGCAAUGUCCUUGCUAGAAACUGGCCCCCUUGAAUAUUGGCUUUAAAUCAGUCACAAUG
This is a long non-coding RNA of Mauremys reevesii (Reeves's turtle), 472 nucleotides long. RefSeq lists it as uncharacterized. NCBI's taxonomy places the organism in Eukaryota, Metazoa, Chordata, Testudines, Geoemydidae. The record is from RefSeq and is a predicted model, not a curated record. The transcript has 3 exons.